RNAcentral lists this ribosomal RNA (490 nucleotides) under uncultured bacterium. RNAcentral's name for it is "bacterial SSU rRNA". It matches the Rfam family "Bacterial small subunit ribosomal RNA", at positions 94 to 578 of the family's 1533-position model. The record is from RNAcentral.
AGUGGCGGACGGGUGAGUAAUGCAUAGGAAUUUGCCUCGAGGUGGGGGAUAGCCCGGAGAAAUCCGGAUUAAUACCGCGUAACCUCUACGGAGCAAAGUGGGCCUCUUCUUGAAAGCUCACGCCUGGAGAUAAGCCUAUGUCGGAUUAGCUUGUUGGUGGGGUAACGGCCUACCAAGGCGACGAUCCGUAGCUGGUCUGAGAGGAUGAUCAGCCACACUGGAACUGAGACACGGUCCAGACUCCUACGGGAGGCAGCAGUGGGGAAUAUUGCACAAUGGGCGCAAGCCUGAUGCAGCAAUGCCGCGUGUGUGAAGAAGGCCUUCGGGUUGUAAAGCUCUUUCAGCUGGAAAGAAAUCGUCCGGACUAAUACUCCGGAUGGAUGACGGUACCGGAAGAAGAAGCACCGGCUAACUACGUGCCAGCAGCCGCGGUAAUACGUAGGGUGCAGGCGUUAAUCGGAAUUACUGGGCGUAAAGCGUGCGCAGGCGG